RNAcentral lists this ribosomal RNA (657 nucleotides) under Bipolaris sp. W16. Its description in RNAcentral is "eukaryotic LSU rRNA". The stretch from base 195 to 348 matches the Rfam family "5.8S ribosomal RNA". The record is from RNAcentral. Lineage: Eukaryota; Fungi; Ascomycota; Dothideomycetes; Pleosporales; Pleosporaceae.
GUGAACCUGCGGAAGAUCAUUACACAAAUACAAUAUGAAGGCCUGGCUUCGCGGCCGGCUGAAAUAUUUUUUUCACCCAUGUCUUUUGCGCACUUGUUGUUUCCUGGGCGGGUUCGCCCGCCACCAGGACCAAACCAUAAACCUUUUUUUUAUGCAGUUGCAAUCAGCGUCAGUAAAAACAAUGUAAUUAUUACAACUUUCAACAACGGAUCUCUUGGUUCUGGCAUCGAUGAAGAACGCAGCGAAAUGCGAUACGUAGUGUGAAUUGCAGAAUUCAGUGAAUCAUCGAAUCUUUGAACGCACAUUGCGCCCUUUGGUAUUCCAAAGGGCAUGCCUGUUCGAGCGUCAUUUGUACCCUCAAGCUUUGCUUGGUGUUGGGCGUUUUGUGUCUCCCUCUUUCUGGGAGACUCGCCUUAAAACGAUUGGCAGCCGACCUACUGGUUUCGGAGCGCAGCACAUAUUUUGCGCUUUGUAUCAGGAGAAAAGGACGGUAAUCCAUCAAGACUCUACAUUUUUAACUUUUGACCUCGGAUCAGGUAGGGAUACCCGCUGAACUUAAGCAUAUCAAUAAGCGGAGGAAAAGAAACCAACAGGGAUUGCCCUAGUAACGGCGAGUGAAGCGGCAACAGCUCAAAUUUGAAAUCUGGCUCUUUCAGA